RNAcentral lists this ribosomal RNA (392 nucleotides) under uncultured eukaryote. RNAcentral describes it as "SSU rRNA". It matches the Rfam family "Eukaryotic small subunit ribosomal RNA", at positions 587 to 972 of the family's 1831-position model. The record is from RNAcentral.
AGCUCCAAUAGCGUAUAUUAAAGUUGUUGCAGUUAAAAAGCUCGUAGUUGGAUUUCUGGUUUGAACGUCCGGUCCAUCUCUUACGAGAUGCGUACUAUGGAUGUUUGGGCCAUUUUUUGUGAGGAUGCCUUUCUGCCAUUAAGUUGGUGGUUUGGUGGACUUGCAUCGUUUACUGUGAAAAAAUUAGAGUGUUUAAAGCAGGCGUUUGCUCAUUUGAAUACAUUAGCAUGGAAUAAUAAGAUACGACCUUGGUGGUCUAUUUUGUUGGUUUGCACGCCAGGGUAAUGAUUAAUAGGGACAGUUGGGGGUAUUCAUAUUUCAGCGUCAGAGGUGAAAUUCUUGGAUCGCUGAAAGAUGAGCUUAGGCGAAAGCAUUUACCAAGGAUGUUUUCA